Chlorocebus sabaeus (green monkey) is the source of this 1581-nucleotide non-coding RNA. The record is from RefSeq and is a predicted model, not a curated record. NCBI's taxonomy places the organism in Eukaryota, Metazoa, Chordata, Mammalia, Primates, Cercopithecidae.
CAACCUUGAAAUUCCAUUUCACAUGGUGGCUCCUGGGCCCCAUCACUGUAAACUGGAGCUCAUGCCUCCAACUGUUCAGGGCAGAGCUGAGCUGUUUCCAGAUCCUCUACCCACUGUGUGAGGCUGGCCCCCAUCUACCACUGCAUAGAAGGGCACUGACACCCCAAGGAGCAGCAGCACAAGUUGGAGGAGUCGUAUGUCCAACUGGGUUCUCCUUGAGAAGGAUGCAGGAUUUCUUGCUUGGCUGACAGAUGUGGAAACUAGGCCCAGAAGAAAGCAGCAGGUUUGCCCAGACUGAGCUACCUCACCUUCUUGGAGGGGUGCUGCUAAAAAUAGUUCCUGGGAGAAUGGGUCCUGGUGACGAGUGCUGCUUUCUUUCCCUGAGUCCACUCGCCAGCCUGCCACCCUCCACCACCACAUCCUGCAAUCCCACCCCUCUCCUGUGCCAGGAACUUGUUAACACCAGUACCAUGCCCUACCAAUACCCUUUGCUGACCCCAGAGCAGAAGAAGGAGCUGUCUGACAUCACGCAUCACAUCGUGGCUCUGGGCAAGAGCAUCCCGGCUGCAGAUGAGUCCACUGGAAGAGUUGCCAAGUGGCUGCAGUCCAUUGGCACCAAGAAUACCGAGGAGAACCAGUGCUUCUACCACCAGCUGCGACUGACAGCUGACAACUGCAUGAACACCUGCAUCGAGGGCAUCAUCCUUUUCCAUGAGAUGCUGUACCAAAAGGUGGAUGAUAGGUGUCCCUUCCCCCAAGUUAUCAAAUCCAAGGGCAGUGUUGUGGGCAUCAAGGUAGAAAAGGGGGUGCUAUCCCUGGCAAGGGCAAAUGGCGAGACUACCACCCAAGGGCCGGAUGGGCUGUCUGAGCGCUGUGCCCCAGACAAGAAGGAUGGAACCCACUUUGCCAAGUGGCAUCAUGUGCUGAAGAUUGGGAAACACACCCCCUCAGCCCUCGCCAUCAUUGAAAAUGCCAACAUCAGCUGGGCGCAGCGGUGUGUCAAUGUCCUGGUCCGCUAUGCCAGCAUCUGCCAGCAGAAUGGCAUUGUGCUCAUCGCGGAGGCUGAGAUCCUCCCCAGUGGGGACCAUGACUUGAAGUACUGCCAGUAUGUAACCAAGAAGGUGUGGCUGCUGUCUACAAGGCUAUGAGUGACCACCACAUCUACCUGGAAGGCACCUUGCUGAAGUCCAAUAUGGUCACCCCGGGCCAAGCCUGCAUCCAGAAGUUUUCUCACAAGGAGAUUGCCAUGGCAACUGUCACAAUGCUACACUGCACAGUGUCCCCUGCUGUCCCUGGGAUCACUUCCUAUCUGGAAGCCAGAGCAAGGAGGUGUCCAUUAACCUCAAUGCCAUUAACAAGUGCCCCCUCCUGAAGCCCUGGGCCCUGACCUUCUCCUACAGCUGAACCCUGCAGGCCUCUGCCCUGAAGGCCUGGGGCAGGAAGAAGAACCGGAAGGCUGUGCAGAAGGAGUAUGUCAAGUGAGCCCUGGCCAAUAGCCUCACCUGUCAAGGAAAGUACAUUCCAAGCGGUCAGGCUGGGGCUGCUGCCAAUGAGUUCCUCUUCUUCUUUAACCACGCUUAG